CUUACUCUACCUACUGCCUCUCAGUACAUAUGGCGCAAGCAUAGGAGCAUUCGCCAGCAAUGUGAAGCGCCAUCUGUAAUAAUAUAAUUAUUACCUACGAAAAUAUUAGCUAGGGCGUGUGGUUGACGCGUUGGGAAAGCCGACCCCAGAUGUAAUCGCCAAGUCUUUUGUCGCGCGAUGAACCGGGGGAACAAAGUCACGAUCGAAAAAAGGUAGUUCGCUGAAUGCAAGAGGUCUUGGUUCGAGUCCAACUCGUGAGAAGGAAUCCUUUUUCAACGUCUACUCAGUUUGCUAUCCUUUUCAGGAUCAGGAUCGGCCUAUCCAACCACUAUGGGAUAUGAGGUUUUUCCUCAGGUGAAAGCGGUCUUGAUGCAGAACUACUGAAGGGA
RNAcentral lists this long non-coding RNA (389 nucleotides) under Nicotiana benthamiana. RNAcentral's name for it is "long non-coding RNA (NBEN_LNC025442)". The record is from RNAcentral. Lineage: Eukaryota; Viridiplantae; Streptophyta; Magnoliopsida; Solanales; Solanaceae.